AUUGAACGCUGGCGGCGUGCUUAACACAUGCAAGUCGAACGAGAAAGGGACUUCGGUCCUGAGUAGAGUGGCGCACGGGUGAGUAACGCGUAGAUAAUCUACCUCUGCAUCUGGGAUAACAGUUCGAAAGGACUGCUAAUACCGGAUACACUCAUAUGCCGCAAGGUGUAUGAGGAAAGGAGACCUCUCCUUGGAAGUUUCUGUGUAGAGAUGAGUCUGCGUCCCAUUAGCUAGUUGGCAGGGUAAGAGCCUACCAAGGCGACGAUGGGGUAGCGGGUCUGAGAGGAUGAUCCGCCACACUGGAACUGAAACACGGACCAGACUCCUACGGGUGCUG
Molecule: ribosomal RNA, 337 nt
Filed under: uncultured Pseudomonadota bacterium
Lineage: Bacteria; Pseudomonadati; Pseudomonadota
Description: bacterial SSU rRNA
Rfam family: Bacterial small subunit ribosomal RNA
Source: RNAcentral